AGAGCGAACGCUGGCGGCAGGCCUAAUACAUGCAAGUCGAACGGAUCCUUCGGGAUUAGUGGCGGACGGGUGAGUAACACGUGGGAACGUGCCCUUUGGUUCGGAACAACUCAGGGAAACUUGAGCUAAUACCGGAUGUGCCCUUCGGGGGAAAGAUUUAUCGCCAUUGGAGCGGCCCGCGUCUGAUUAGCUAGUUGGUGGGUAAAGGCCUACCAAGGCUACGAUCAGUAGCUGGUCUGAGAGGAUGAUCAGCCACACUGGGACUGAGACACGGCCCAGACUCCUACGGGAGGCAGCAGUAGGGAAUCUUGCGCAAUGGGCGAAAGCCUGACGCAGCCAUGCCGCGUGAAUGAUGAAGGUCUUAGGAUUGUAAAAUUCUUUCAGCGGGGACGAUAAUGACGGUACCCGCAGAAGAAGCCCCGGCUAACUUCGUGCCAGCAGCCGC
This 445-nucleotide ribosomal RNA is filed under the name uncultured bacterium. RNAcentral's name for it is "SSU rRNA". It matches the Rfam family "Bacterial small subunit ribosomal RNA", at positions 26 to 518 of the family's 1533-position model. The record is from RNAcentral.